This 497-nucleotide ribosomal RNA is filed under the name uncultured bacterium. Its description in RNAcentral is "partial 16S ribosomal RNA". It matches the Rfam family "Bacterial small subunit ribosomal RNA", at positions 28 to 507 of the family's 1533-position model. The record is from RNAcentral.
GACGAACGCUGGCGGCGUGCCUAAUACAUGCAAGUUGAGCGCUGAAGGUUGGUACUUGUACCAACUGGAUGAGCAGCGAACGGGUGAGUAACGCGUGGGGAAUCUGCCUUUGAGCGGGGGACAACAUUUGGAAACGAAUGCUAAUACCGCAUAAAAACUUUAAACACAAGUUUUAAGUUUGAAAGAUGCAAUUGCAUCACUCAAAGAUGACCCCGCGUUGUAUUAGGUAGUUGGUGAGGUAAAGGCUCACCAAGGCGAUGAUACAUAGCCGACCUGAGAGGGUGAUCGGCCACAUUGGGACGGAGACACGGCCCAAACGCCUACGGGAGGCAGCAGUAGGGAAUCGUGGGCAAGGGGCGAAAGUCUGACCGAGCAACGCCGCGUGAGUGAAGAGGGAUUUCGGAUCGUAAAACUCUGUUGGUAGAGAAGAACGUUGGUGAGAGUGGAAAGCUCAUCGAGUGACGGUAACUACCCAGAAAGGGACGGCUAACUACGUG